Molecule: ribosomal RNA, 253 nt
Filed under: uncultured bacterium
Lineage: Bacteria
Description: partial 16S ribosomal RNA
Rfam family: Bacterial small subunit ribosomal RNA
Source: RNAcentral
UACGGAGGGUGCAAGCGUUAAUCGGAAUUACUGGGCGUAAAGAGUGUGUAGGCGGUGUUCCCAGUCUGUUGUGAAAUCUCCCGGCUUAACUGGGAGGGUGCAGCGGAAACUAGAAUGCUAGAGGGUGGGAGAGGUAAGCGGAAUUCCUGGUGUAGCGGUGAAAUGCGUAGAUAUCAGGAGGAACACCUGUGGUGUAGACAGCUUACUGGACCACUUCUGACGCUGAGACACGAAAGCGUGGGUAGCAAACAGG